GAUGUGUUGCUGAUUGACGCCA
This 22-nucleotide non-coding RNA is filed under the name Arabidopsis thaliana (thale cress). Lineage: Eukaryota; Viridiplantae; Streptophyta; Magnoliopsida; Brassicales; Brassicaceae. The record is from RNAcentral.